AGAAGAAGACUAGGUCUGUCAAGGCUAUACAGAAACUGUCCAACACUUGGACUUUGCACUGUUGCUGAAUGUGGUUAUUAGCUCCGAGAGUUUUUUUUUUAAUAUUUUGGGGUUUUCUUUAUAAAGGAUAGAUCAUCUACAAAUACUUCUUGCUUUUCAAUUUAGAUGAUGUUUCCUUUCCUGCCCAAUUUAUCUGGUUAAAACGUCUGAUACACUGUUGAAUAGAAGAGGCAAGGGCACAUGUUCAUGUCUUGUUCCUGAUAUUGGGAGAAAGCAUCCCGUUUUUCACCACUCUGGCCAGGACAGCCUAUCUGUGCAGGAGGCAUUGCUGGCACCCCGUGGGGACUGAGGACCAAGGAGGAGCUGCUCCCCCACACACGGUUCGUACUUCUGCUCUGUGAAGAGAGACAACUGUGCCCUGUCACCUUCACUGAACUAUGAGGAUAUUUUUAUAAGACAUCUAUUUCCCAGAUGAGAUAUUCCCUGACAAGUUUUAGGAUAUCAUUAUGUUGUCUGCUGGCUCAUCAACUGAGAAAUCAGCUGCCAGUCUUAUUGUUGUCUCUGUAAAGGAAUGUGUUUUUCACAUCUGGCUACGGCACUUACCCAAGCAGAAACGGGGUUUCACCAUGUUAGCCAAGAUGGUCUCGAUCUCCUGACCUCGCGAUCCGCCCGCCUUGGCCUCCCAAAGUGCUGGGAUUAUGCAUUCUCUCUUUACAUCACAGAGAUAUGGAAUCACCAAAGAAUACUGACACAGAAGAACCAAGUAGGAGAGUGUGCAAUUCCCAGUCUCAUAUCUCAUUACAAAACCAAACUAAACAAGGCAUUGGCACAAGAAUAGACAUACAGAUCAAUGGAACAGAACUGAGACCCCAGAAAUAAAACCAAGUGGUCAGCUGACUUUUUGAAAGCUUGCCAAGACCAUCAAAUGGGGAAAAAUUUUUUUAAUAUACGUUGCAGGGAUAAUUGGAUAUAAACAUCCAAAAGAAUGAACUUGGAUGCUUAUCUUGCACCAUAUGCAAAAAUAACUGAAAAUGAAUUCAAGGCUAUAACUAUUAACUCAGAAAAAAAAAAUGAGCUGCAUUUUCAUGAUCCUAGGUUUGGCAAAAUACUCUUAAGUAUAACUCCAAAAAAAAACCCACCAAAAAA
This is a long non-coding RNA of Homo sapiens (human), 1146 nucleotides long. The record is from Ensembl. NCBI's taxonomy places the organism in Eukaryota, Metazoa, Chordata, Mammalia, Primates, Hominidae.